GAUGAAGAACGUAGCGAAAUGCGAUACUUGGUGUGAAUUGCAGAAUCCCGUGAACCAUCGAGUCUUUGAACGCAAGUUGCGCCUCAAGCCAUUAGGUUGAGGGCACGUCUGCCUGGGCGUCACAUAUCGUUGCCUGAUGCCAGUUUCCUCGUGAUGGGUGACUGUGCAGGGCGAAUGAUGGCUUCCCGUGAGCAUUGUUGCCUCAUGGUUGGUUGAAAAUUGAGUCCUUGGUAGGGAGCGCCGUGAUAGAUGGUGGUUGAGUGACGAACGAGACCCAAUCAUGUGAGACCCCUACCGAAUUUGGCCUUCAUGACCAACAUGCGUCUUUGGAACGCUCAUGACGAGACCUCAGGUCAGGCGGGGCUAACCGCUGAGUUUAAGCAUAUCAAUAAGCGGAGGA
Molecule: unclassified non-coding RNA, 400 nt
Filed under: soil metagenome
Description: partial contains 5.8S ribosomal RNA, internal transcribed spacer 2, and large subunit ribosomal RNA
Rfam family: 5.8S ribosomal RNA (bases 1-122)
Source: RNAcentral